Molecule: ribosomal RNA, 254 nt
Filed under: uncultured bacterium
Lineage: Bacteria
Description: partial 16S ribosomal RNA
Rfam family: Bacterial small subunit ribosomal RNA
Source: RNAcentral
UACAGAGGGUGCGAGCGUUAAUCGGAAUUACUGGGCGUAAAGCGUGCGUAGGCGGUUCUGAAAGUCAGCUGUGAAAGCCCCGGGCUUAACCUGGGAACUGCGGUUGAAACUACAGGACUUGAAUCUGGCAGAGGGGGGUGGAAUUCCACGUGUAGCAGUGAAAUGCGUAGAGAUGUGGAGGAAUACCAAUGGCGAAGGCAGCCCCCUGGGAUAAGUAUUGACGCUCAUGCACGAAAGCGUGGGGAGCAAACAGG